This 1247-nucleotide ribosomal RNA is filed under the name uncultured bacterium. Its description in RNAcentral is "bacterial SSU rRNA". It matches the Rfam family "Bacterial small subunit ribosomal RNA", at positions 76 to 1316 of the family's 1533-position model. The record is from RNAcentral.
UAGCUUGCUAGAUUGAUGGCGAGUGGCGAACGGGUGAGUAAUACAUCGGAACGUGCCCUGUAGUGGGGGAUAACUAGUCGAAAGAUUAGCUAAUACCGCAUACGACCUGAGGGUGAAAGUGGGGGACUGCAAGGCCUCAUGCUAUAGGAGCGGCCGAUGUCUGAUUAGCUAGUUGGUGAGGUAAAGGCUCACCAAGGCGACGAUCAGUAGCUGGUCUGAGAGGACGAUCAGCCACACUGGGACUGAGACACGGCCCAGACUCCUACGGGAGGCAGCAGUGGGGAAUUUUGGACAAUGGGCGAAAGCCUGAUCCAGCAAUGCCGCGUGUGUGAAGAAGGCCUUCGGGUUGUAAAGCACUUUUGUCCGGAAAGAAAUGGCUCUGGUUAAUACCUGGGGUCGAUGACGGUACCGGAAGAAUAAGCACCGGCUAACUCUGUGCCAGCAGCCGCGGUAAUACAGAGGGUGCGAGCGUUAAUCGGAUUUACUGGGCGUAAAGCGUGCGUAGGCGGCUUUUUAAGUCGGAUGUGAAAUCCCUGAGCUUAACUUAGGAAUUGCAUUCGAUACUGGGAAGCUAGAGUAUGGGAGAGGAUGGUAGAAUUCCAGGUGUAGCGGUGAAAUGCGUAGAGAUCUGGAGGAAUACCGAUGGCGAAGGCAGCCAUCUGGCCUAAUACUGACGCUGAGGUACGAAAGCAUGGGGAGCAAACAGGAUUAGAUACCCUGGUAGUCCAUGCCGUAAACGAUGUCUACUAGCCGUUGGGGCCUUUGAGGCUUUAGUGGCGCAGCUAACGCGAUAAGUAGACCGCCUGGGGAGUACGGUCGCAAGACUAAAACUCAAAUGAAUUGACGGAGGCCCGCACAAGCGGUGGAGCAUGUGGUUUAAUUCGAUGCAACGCGAAGAACCUUACCUGGUCUUGACAUAGUAAGAACUUUCCAGAGAUGGAUUGGUGCCUUCGGGAACUUACAUACAGGUGCUGCAUGGCUGUCGUCAGCUCGUGUCGUGAGAUGUUGGGUUAAGUCCCGCAACGAGCGCAACCCUUUUCCUUAUUUGCCAGCGGGUUAAGCCGGGAGCUUUAAGGAUACUGCCAGUGACAAACUGGAGGAAGGCGGGGACGACGUCAAGUCAUCAUGGCCCUUACGACCAGGGCUACACACGUGCUACAAUGGUCGGUACAAAGGGUUGCUACCUAGCGAUAGGAUGCUAAUCUCAAAAAGCCGAUCGUAGUCCGGAUUGGAGUCUGCAACUCGAC